UAAAUUGUCAUUUCAUCAAAGAAAGUAUCUUGUCUAGACUCUAGAGACAUACAUCACUAUUUGCUCCCUCUGGUCUCGUUUAUAAACAACAACAAAAACUUCCUCACACUCUUUAGAAAAAUGUCAUUUAAUUUUUCAGCGUAAUAAAAAAGUUAUUGUAUCUUCCAAAUUUGAAUCAAUUGAAUGGCAUUCUAGAAUCCUAAGCAUGACUAUUUUGUUGCUUAUAUUCGACACGAGAGCAUGUACUUCAGUUCAAAUUAUUUGCUACAUAACUUUUCGUUAAGCCUUUUGCAAAGUCUUGGAGAAAUUUACAUAUUUACUGAGAUUAAUGCAUAUGACCUAUGUGCUCUAGCUCGAUAGCACCUAUAAAUUCAAGAAUAAGAAGUUAAUUUGGUCCCUAAACUAUCAUUCUCUCACCAGUUUAGUCACAAAGCUAGCAUAUGUUUUCAUGAUAGUUUAGGACCAAAUUGAUCGUUUAUUCAUAAAACAUCAAUGCUAGUCGGUUUUAAAACAACAACUCAUGGACAGCCUUCAUCAACAAAUUUAAAACACAUCAUCAGAGAAAGCAAAAAGUUGAAAAGCAUCCCAAACAAGAAAUAAGCAUGACAGAUUCAUAGUUAUUAGCCUAGAAGUUGAAGGUAGUUUAGUUUGGAUGAGAUAAGCAUCAAAAUGAACAUGAGCAAGGUGUGAAAAGAGCUGUUUAUUUUGUGUGUUGGCCUCAAAUAAGGCAUGGAAUGAAGCAAAAUGAACGUGGUUUAUUGGAUUCUUGUGGAUCGAUAGUUUUUGCUUCGAGAUUGAGAGUUAGUGUCUAGUUGCAAGUUUGUUUCGCUGGUUAUGGUGUAUUCUCUGGUGGAUUGGAGAUGAGAGGGGGUAUAGAGGUGGUGGAGGCCGAAUGAGCGUUGGAAUAAGACAUUUUUGUGUGUCUCGACUAUUGAGAUGAGAAGAGGUUGUUUGAUUAGGAGGGGUGUUUCUGGGGUGAGUAACAUGCGAUGGGUGUUUAUGAAUUUCGUUUUCAGUGGUCAUUUCUCGUGGAGUUUGAUCUAGGUGAUGCAGUUAGGUUUGGUAAUUGUUGUUCUUAUGUGUGUUGAAGGUAGGUCUUGGUUAAAUGAUGUGUGUAUUGGUGUUCCUUAGUUAUGUAGUCUCUGUCAUUUUGAACAAGGAUCAUAUUUUUAAUAAAUUUUGCAGUUCAAAGAAAAAUAGUCAAUAGAGUUGUGUUAUUUGAACAUCCAUAUAUGUGA
Long non-coding RNA from Medicago truncatula (barrel medic), 1238 nucleotides. RefSeq lists it as uncharacterized. NCBI's taxonomy places the organism in Eukaryota, Viridiplantae, Streptophyta, Magnoliopsida, Fabales, Fabaceae. The transcript has 4 exons. The record is from RefSeq and is a predicted model, not a curated record.